This 468-nucleotide ribosomal RNA is filed under the name uncultured bacterium. RNAcentral's name for it is "partial 16S ribosomal RNA". It matches the Rfam family "Bacterial small subunit ribosomal RNA", at positions 28 to 507 of the family's 1533-position model. The record is from RNAcentral.
GACGAACGCUGGCGGCGUGCUUAACACAUGCAAGUCGAACGGAAAGGCCCUGCUUUUGUGGGGUGCUCGAGUGGCGAACGGGUGAGUAACACGUGAGUAACCUGCCCUUGACCUUGGGAUAACUUCAGGAAACUGGGGCUAAUACCGGAUAGGAGCUCCUGCUGCAUGGUGGGGGUUGGAAAGUUUCGGCGGUUGGGGAUGGACUCGCGGCUUAUCAGCUUGUUGGUGGGGUAGUGGCUUACCAAGGCUUUGACGGGUAGCCGGCCUGAGAGGGUGACCGGCCACAUUGGGACUGAGAUACGGCCCAGACUCCUACGGGAGGCAGCAGUGGGGAGUAUUGCACAAUGGGCGGAAGCCUGAUGCAGCAACGCCGCGUGCGGGAUGACGGCCUUCGGGUUGUAAACCGCUUUCGCCUGUGACGAAGCGUGAGUGACGGUAAUGGGUGAAGAAGCACCGGCUAACUACGUG